RNAcentral lists this ribosomal RNA (362 nucleotides) under uncultured bacterium. RNAcentral describes it as "bacterial SSU rRNA". It matches the Rfam family "Bacterial small subunit ribosomal RNA", at positions 29 to 416 of the family's 1533-position model. The record is from RNAcentral.
AACGAACGCUGGCGGCAGGCCUAAAACAUGCAAGUCGAGCGGGCAUAGCAAUAUGUCAGCGGCGGACGGGUGAAUAACACGUGGGAACAUGCCCUUUGGUACGGAACAACUCAGGGAAACUUGAGCUAAUACCGUAUGUGCCGGUAACGGGAAAGAUUUAUCGCCAAAGGAUGGGCCCGCGGCCUAUCAGCUUGUUGGUGGGGUGAUGGCCUACCAAGGCGACGACGGGUAGCCGGCCUGAGAGGGCGACCGGCCACACUGGGACUGAGAUACGGCCCAGACUCCUACGGGAGGCAGCAGUGGGGAAUCUUGCGCAAUGGGCGAAAGCCUGACGCAGCGACGCCGCGUGAGGGAUGACGGCC